CUGCAGCCCGAGUGGUGAUCGAUUUUAUUGAGCCUAAAGCGUUCGUAGCCGGUUUAGUAAAUGCUUGGGUAAAUUGUGUCGCUUAACGAUACGAAUACCGGGUAGACUGCUAAACUUGGGACCGGGAGAGGCUAGAGGUACUCCUGGGGUAGAGGUGAAAUUCUGUAAUCCUGGGGGGACCACCAGUGGCGAAGGCGUCUAGCUAGAACGGGUCUGACGGUGAGGGACGAAGCCCUGGGGCGCAAACCGGAUUAGAUACCCGAGUAGUCC
Molecule: ribosomal RNA, 270 nt
Filed under: uncultured archaeon
Lineage: Archaea
Description: partial 16S ribosomal RNA
Rfam family: Archaeal small subunit ribosomal RNA
Source: RNAcentral